Molecule: ribosomal RNA, 492 nt
Filed under: uncultured bacterium
Lineage: Bacteria
Description: partial 16S ribosomal RNA
Rfam family: Bacterial small subunit ribosomal RNA
Source: RNAcentral
AGUGAACGCUGGCGGUAGGCCUAACACAUGCAAGUCGAACGGCAGCACAGUAAGAGCUUGCUCUUACGGGUGGCGAGUGGCGGACGGGUGAGGAAUACAUCGGAAUCUACUUUUUCGUGGGGGAUAACGUAGGGAAACUUACGCUAAUACCGCAUACGACCUACGGGUGAAAGCAGGGGAUCUUCGGACCUUGCGCGAUUGAAUGAGCCGAUGUCGGAUUAGCUAGUUGGCGGGGUAAGGGCCCACCAAGGCGACGAUCCGUAGCUGGUCUGAGAGGAUGAUCAGCCACACUGGAACUGAGACACGGUCCAGACUCCUACGGGAGGCAGCAGUGGGGAAUAUUGGACAAUGGGCGAAAGCCUGAUCCAGCCAUACCGCGUGGGUGAAGAAGGCCUUCGGGUUGUAAAGCUCUUUUGUUGGGAAAGAAAAGCAGCAGGUGAAUACCCCGCUGUUCUGACGGUACCCAAAGAAUAAGCACCGGCUAACUUCGUG